CCUACGGGAGGCAGCAGUAGGGAAUCUUCCACAAUGGGCGAAAGCCUGAUGGAGCAACGCCGCGUUGGUGAAGAAGGUCUUCGGAUCGUAAAACCCUGUUGUUAGAGAAGAAAGUGCGUGAGAGUAACGGUUCACGUUUCGACGGUAUAUAACCAGAAAGCAACGGCUAACUACGUACCAGCAGCCUCGGUAAUACGUAGGUGGCAAGCGUUAUCCGGAUUUAUUGGGCGUAAAGGGAACGCAGGCGGUCUUUUAAGUCUGAUGGGAAAGCCUUCGGCUUAACCGGAGUAGUGCAUUGGAAACUGGGAGACUUGAGUGCAGAAGAGGAGAGUGGAACUCGAUGUGUAGCGGUGAAAUGCGUAGAUAUAUGGAAGAACACCAGUGGCGAAAGCGGCUCUCUGGUCUGUAACUGACGCUGAGGUUCGAAAGCGUGGGUAGCAAACAGGAUUAGAUACCCCAGUAGUC
This 465-nucleotide ribosomal RNA is filed under the name uncultured bacterium. RNAcentral describes it as "partial 16S ribosomal RNA". It matches the Rfam family "Bacterial small subunit ribosomal RNA", at positions 338 to 795 of the family's 1533-position model. The record is from RNAcentral.